Molecule: ribosomal RNA, 515 nt
Filed under: uncultured bacterium
Lineage: Bacteria
Description: bacterial SSU rRNA
Rfam family: Bacterial small subunit ribosomal RNA
Source: RNAcentral
UGGGGAAUCUUGCACAAUGGGCGCAAGCCUGAUGCAGCAACGCCGCGUGCGGGAAGACGGCCCUAGGGUUGUAAACCGCUUUCAGGAGGGAAGAAAAUGACGGUACCUCCAGAAGAAGGUGCGGCCAACUACGUGCCAGCAGCCGCGUGACACGUAGGCACCAAGCGUUAUCCGGAUUUAUUGGCGUAAAGAGCUCGUAGGCGGUUCGGUAAGUCGGGUGUGAAAAUCCAAGGCUCAACCUUGGGACGCCACCCGAUACUGCUGUGACUCGAGUGCAGUAGGGGAGCAGGGAAUUCCUGGUGUAGCGGUGAAAUGCGCAGAUAUCAGGAGGAACACCAGUGGCGAAGGCGCUGCUCUGGGCUGUAACUGACGCUGAGGAGCGAAAAGCAUGGGUAGCAAAACAGGAUUAGAUACCCUGGUAGUCCAUGCCGUAAAACGUUGGGCACUAGGUGUGGGUCUCAACCAACGAGAUCCGCGCCGUCGCUAACGCAUUAAGUGCCCCGCCUGGGGAGUAC